GGGUGCGAUCAUACCAGCACUAAUGCACCGGAUCCCAUCAGAACUCCGCAGUUAAGCGUGCUCGGGCGAGAGUAGUACUAGGAUGGGUGACCUCCUGGGAAGUCCUCGUGUUGCACCCC
Molecule: ribosomal RNA, 119 nt
Filed under: Gossypium raimondii (Peruvian cotton)
Lineage: Eukaryota; Viridiplantae; Streptophyta; Magnoliopsida; Malvales; Malvaceae
Also listed under: 3 other names
Source: RNAcentral